GACGAACGCUGGCGGCGUGCUUAACACAUGCAAGUCGAACGGAAAGGCCCUGCUUUUGUGGGGUGCUCGAGUGGCGAACGGGUGAGUAACACGUGAGUAACCUGCCCUUGACUUUGGGAUAACUUCAGGAAACUGGGGCUAAUACCGGAUAGGAGCUCCUGCUGCAUGGUGGGGGUUGGAAAGUUUCGGCGGUUGGGGCUGGACUCGCGGCUUAUCAGCUUGUUGGUGGGGUAGUGGCUUACCAAGGCUUUGACGGGUAGCCGGCCUGAGAGGGUGACCGGCCACAUUGGGACUGCGAUACGGCCCAGACUCCUACGGGAGGCAGCAGUGGGGAAUAUUGCACAGUGGGCGGAAGCCUGAUGCAGCAACGCCGCGUGCGGGAUGACGGCCUUCGGGUUGUAAACCGAUUUCGCCUGUGACGAAGCGUGAGUGACGGUAAUGGGUAAAGAAGCACCGGCUAACUACGUG
RNAcentral lists this ribosomal RNA (468 nucleotides) under uncultured bacterium. RNAcentral describes it as "partial 16S ribosomal RNA". It matches the Rfam family "Bacterial small subunit ribosomal RNA", at positions 28 to 507 of the family's 1533-position model. The record is from RNAcentral.